GACGAACGCUGGCGGCGUGCCUAAAACAUGCAAGUCGAACGGGGUGUCUGCGGACACCCAGUGGCGAACGGCUGAGUAACACGUGGGUGACCUCCCGCCGAGUGGGGGAUACCAGCUCGAAAGGGCUGCUAAUACCGCAUCCGGUCCCGGGGCAGACCCGGGAAGAAAGCUCCUUCCGGAGCGCUCGGCGCAGGGCCCGCGGCCGAUUAGCUGGUUGGUGAGGUAACGGCCCACCAAGGCGACGAUCGGUAGCUGGUCUGAGAGGACGACCAGCCAG
This 277-nucleotide ribosomal RNA is filed under the name uncultured bacterium. RNAcentral describes it as "partial 16S ribosomal RNA". It matches the Rfam family "Bacterial small subunit ribosomal RNA", at positions 28 to 311 of the family's 1533-position model. The record is from RNAcentral.